UUUACAAUGGAGAGUUUGAUCCUGGCUCAGGAUGAACGCUAGCGGCAGGCUUAAUACAUGCAAGUCGAGGGGCAGCACGGGAGCAAUCCUGGUGGCGACCGGCAAACGGGUGCGGAACACGUACGCAACCUUCCCAUAACUGGUGAAUAGCCUUUCGAAAGAGAGAUUAAUACACCGUAACAUAACGAAGAGGCAUCUCUUUGUUAUUAUAGCCGCAAGGCGGUUUUGGAUGGGCGUGCGCCUGAUUAGGUAGUUGGCGGGGUAACGGCCCACCAAGCCUGCGAUCAGUAACUGGUG
Molecule: ribosomal RNA, 297 nt
Filed under: Ferruginibacter sp.
Lineage: Bacteria; Pseudomonadati; Bacteroidota; Chitinophagia; Chitinophagales; Chitinophagaceae
Description: partial 16S ribosomal RNA
Rfam family: Bacterial small subunit ribosomal RNA
Source: RNAcentral